Molecule: ribosomal RNA, 1301 nt
Filed under: metagenome
Description: bacterial LSU rRNA
Rfam family: Bacterial large subunit ribosomal RNA
Source: RNAcentral
CACACGACCGUACCGCAAACCGACACUGGUGCGCGAGAUGAGUAUUCUAAGGCGCUUGAGAGAACUCAGGAGAAGGAACUCGGCAAAUUGACACCGUAACUUCGGAAGAAGGUGUGCCUUUAGUAGGUGAAGGGAUUUACUCCUGGAGCCCAAUGAGGUUGCAAAAAAUCGGUGGCUGCGACUGUUUAUUAAAAACACAGCACUCUGCAAACACGAAAGUGGACGUAUAGGGUGUGACGCCUGCCCGGUGCUGGAAGAUUAAAUGAUGGGGUGCAAGCUCUUGAUUGAAGUCCCAGUAAACGGCGGCCGUAACAAUAACGGUCCUAAGGUAGCGAAAUUCCUUGUCGGGUAAGUUCCGACCUGCACGAAUGGCGUAACGAUGGCCACACUGUCUCCUCCUGAGACUCAGCGAAGUUGAAAUGUUUGUGAUGAUGCAAUCUCCCCGCGGAAAGACGGAAAGACCCCAUGAACCUUUACUGUAGCUUUGUAUUGGACUUUGAACAGAUCUGUGUAGGAUAGGUGGGAGGCUUGAAGCAGGGUCGCUAGAUCUUGUGGAGCCAACGUUGAAAUACCACCCUGGUGUGUUUGAGGUUCUAACCUAGGCCCGUAAUCCGGGUUGGGGACAGUGCAUGGUAGGCAGUUUGACUGGGGCGGUCUCCUCCCAAAGUGUAACGGAGGAGUUCGAAGGUACGCUAGUUACGGUCGGACAUCGUGACGAUAGUGCAAUGGCAUAAGCGUGCUUAACUGCGAGACUGACAAGUCGAGCAGAUGCGAAAGCAGGACAUAGUGAUCCGGUGGUUCUGUAUGGAAGGGCCAUCGCUCAACGGAUAAAAGGUACUCUGGGGAUAACAGGCUGAUACCGCCCAAGAGUUCAUAUCGACGGCGGUGUUUGGCACCUCGAUGUCGGCUCAUCUCAUCCUGGGGCUGUAGCCGGUCCCAAGGGUAUGGCUGUUCGCCAUUUAAAGAGGUGCGUGAGCUGGGUUUAAAACGUCGUGAGACAGUUUGGUCCCUAUCUUCCGUGGGCGCUGCAGAUUUGAGGAAGCCUGCUCCUAGUACGAGAGGACCGGAGUGGACGCACCUCUGGUGUAUCGGUUGUCACGCCAGUGGCAUUGCCGAGUAGCUAUGUGCGGAAGAGAUAACCGCUGAAAGCAUCUAAGCGGGAAACUCGUUUCAAGAUGAGAUCUGCCGGGGCCUUGAGCCCCCUGAAGAGUCGUUCAAGACCAGGACGUUGAUAGGUCGGGUGUGGAAGCGCAGUAAUGCGUUAAGCUAACCGAUACUAAUUGCUCGUGCGGCUUGACCCG